RNAcentral lists this ribosomal RNA (254 nucleotides) under uncultured bacterium. RNAcentral's name for it is "partial 16S ribosomal RNA". It matches the Rfam family "Bacterial small subunit ribosomal RNA", at positions 524 to 776 of the family's 1533-position model. RNAcentral also lists the same sequence under 1 other name. The record is from RNAcentral.
GACGAACCGUGCGAACGUUAUUCGGAAUCACUGGGCUUAAAGCGCGUGUAGGCGGCCCGGCACGUCCGUCGCUGAAAUCCCCCGGCUCAACCGGGGAAGGGGCGCGGAUACGACCGGGCUGGAGGGGGGUAGGGGGAUCGGGAACUUCCGGUGGAGCGGUGAAAUGCGUUGAGAUCGGAAGGAACGCCCGCGGCGAAAGCGCGGUCCUGGACCCCACCUGACGCUGAGACGCGAAAGCCAGGGGAGCGAACGGG